GUAUGUUCAUAUAUCGCCCUGAGCAUACCUAAUUUCAUCUGAUUUCAGAAAUGAAGCAGAUUUAGGCCUGGUUAAUGCUUUGAUGGGUAACCACCAGGGAAUGCAAGGCAUCCC
This 114-nucleotide ribosomal RNA is filed under the name Pogona vitticeps (central bearded dragon). The record is from RNAcentral. Lineage: Eukaryota; Metazoa; Chordata; Lepidosauria; Squamata; Agamidae.